AAAUCGAAAAGGCAAAACUGGAGAAAUCCAGCGACGCAAAACUACAGGGACCUCCGCCUUAUAAGGCAAGGUCAGCCAGUUACCGAA
This 87-nucleotide non-coding RNA is filed under the name Paenibacillus sp. CF384. RNAcentral's name for it is "GEMM cis-regulatory element". It matches the Rfam family "c-di-GMP-I riboswitch aptamer". Rfam says of the family: GEMM was predicted in a large-scale screen for bacterial structured RNA regulatory elements. Genes associated with GEMM are involved in a diverse array of functions, including chemotaxis regulation, signal transduction, secretion and chitin. The record is from RNAcentral. Lineage: Bacteria; Bacillati; Bacillota; Bacilli; Caryophanales; Paenibacillaceae.